CUCAAGUUUGAGGUGAAAGCAGGCUCAGAGUCCACCUGUGCUCGCUGAUCCAUGGAUUUCUGUGUGACCAGAUUACACCUAUGGAGCUGCAGCCCCGACUACCACCAGCUUGCUCAUCCCUCU
This is a long non-coding RNA of Diceros bicornis minor, 123 nucleotides long. RefSeq lists it as uncharacterized. Lineage: Eukaryota; Metazoa; Chordata; Mammalia; Perissodactyla; Rhinocerotidae. The transcript is spliced from 3 exons. The record is from RefSeq and is a predicted model, not a curated record.